GGAGUUCAAAUUGACUCUAGUAGGGAGUCCUUUUUAUACGAGUGACUCCCUAACGGAGUCAGAUUGAAUUACUU
Molecule: non-coding RNA, 74 nt
Organism: Musca domestica (house fly)
Lineage: Eukaryota; Metazoa; Arthropoda; Insecta; Diptera; Muscidae
Source: Rfam